GCCCAAUGUGGUGCAGUGGUAGCGCCACUACCUGCGACGCAGAAAGUUCCGGGUUCAAUUCUCGGUGGGUC
Molecule: non-coding RNA, 71 nt
Organism: Phthorimaea operculella (potato tuberworm)
Lineage: Eukaryota; Metazoa; Arthropoda; Insecta; Lepidoptera; Gelechiidae
Source: the annotation of a GenBank genome assembly